This 213-nucleotide ribosomal RNA is filed under the name uncultured Gelria sp. Its description in RNAcentral is "partial 16S ribosomal RNA". It matches the Rfam family "Bacterial small subunit ribosomal RNA", at positions 1174 to 1380 of the family's 1533-position model. The record is from RNAcentral. Lineage: Bacteria; Bacillati; Bacillota; Clostridia; Thermoanaerobacterales; Thermoanaerobacteraceae.
UGGGGAUGACGUCAAGUCAUCAUGCCCCUUAUGUCCUGGGCUACACACGUGCUACGAAUGGACCGUGUACAGAGGGAUGCGAACCCGUGAGGGGGAGCGAUCCCAAAAGCAGGUCCAAGUUCGGAUCGCAGGCUGCAACCCGCCUGCGUGAAGUCGGAAUCGCUAGUAAUCGCGGGUCAGCAUACCGCGGUGAAUAACGUUCCCGGGCCCGUU